AACGACUAUAACCAUGUGUGCAGUCUAGACACCAUUCUUUCUAGGCGACGUUGCCCCUGUGCUGGGACCCUAUCACGGUCGAUAGUGGACCAGCAGCCAGUUUCUGGUUCACAGAUUAGGUGGUGACGGUCCCGGUUUGACGAACCGAGAUCAAGAUAUAAUCGGUCUCUAUAGGCGAUUACUAUAGUUGAAGACGUUCCGUAGGUGAACCUGCGGAAGGAUCAUUA
RNAcentral lists this ribosomal RNA (227 nucleotides) under Verrucaria viridula. RNAcentral describes it as "partial 18S small subunit ribosomal RNA". Lineage: Eukaryota; Fungi; Ascomycota; Eurotiomycetes; Verrucariales; Verrucariaceae. The record is from RNAcentral.